This is a long non-coding RNA of Mytilus californianus (California mussel), 1611 nucleotides long. RefSeq lists it as uncharacterized. Lineage: Eukaryota; Metazoa; Mollusca; Bivalvia; Mytilida; Mytilidae. The record is from RefSeq and is a predicted model, not a curated record. The transcript has 2 exons.
AUUACUGUACACAUGAUUCAGUAUGGAGAGCGAUAAUUUAGUCGAAUCUUCACAAAAAAUAGUGUCGACUCUUAUGGACAGAAAAUUAACACAAUUAGAGGAAAAAGCAGCUGCUUUAGAAAAAGAUUUUGAAAGCAUAUUGAAGAGAACUGGUGAGAUUGAGCUGUGGGCGAAGCAAUAUGAAAUAAAGGUUAAAGAAGAAAAAAGACUGAUUGGUCUGUUGCAUACUAUGGUAAGACCAGGCGACAGACGUGCAACAAGUCUAAUGAAUCAUGUAUCGGUCUUUUUUGACGAGAUUUUAACGAGACUAGAAAACAACGGAGUUCGAUAUAAUAACAUAAAAUUCCUGUAUAGAGACUUAAAAAAAUCAGAAGUAAGUGCAGCAUUGGACACAGUUCUAAUUGACAUGAAUUUUACAUCAGACGAAGUAAAAGAUGUAAGACUUAUUAUCGAACUUGUACAUUCAAGGGUGAGACGAAAAACGAAAUUAAUGGGAGCAUACGAACUACAGUGUGUAGAGAACGACGCAUCUUUUAUACAACAGGAAAUCAAAGUGUUCUUGCAAGUUAGAGACGAAAUAGACGAACCGAUGAGAAAGGUACUGAAAAAAAUAGUAGCCUCGUGUUAUGCUGAAAGCCAAGAGGCCAAAGGGGACCAAAACAACAAUACUUAAUCAUAAGAUAGUUCGCGAUGUUGAAAUGAUAUUUGAAAAUGUUAUAUAUAUAUAUAUUUAUGUAUAUCUAAAUUUAGUUUUAUAUUCCAAAACAUGUGUCCAAAUGAAAGUUUAAUUAUGUAUUGGUACCUAAGUGAGGGUCUGUUGGGGUUGGAUAUGCUAUUCCAUCUUACUAUCUCAUAAUGUACAAUGUUGUUACCCUACAAAAAUACAACAACUGCUAAAAUAAAUGGAAUGCUUCUCAAAUGUUUUAAACAUUUUUAAUGUAUUUAAAACUUCUAGCGUACAUUCAGAUUUAAUUAUACCAAUUUCAGCAUUGACGAAGAUUGCGCCACUCUAGCAGUCUUUCAGCUUCUCCCUACAAAUAAUUUCAUAUAAUUUAUCAACACGACCUAAGCUACUUUAUUUUUUUUAUCUAAUGGAAUAAGUACUGCCAAUAAUUUUCCGGAAAUUUUCGGAUGUGUUCCAAUGUGGUUUAAAAUUAGCCUUAUCAAAAAACAAGAAUAAAAACACCUCAAAAGUUAUUAAACUUUAGCAUCUGUACUUAUUCAUGCACAUAGACACAACUAUUGAUACAAAUCUAUAUUCUUAUAUAUAAAACUUAAGAAAAUGCAUAUUAAAUUCAUUCUGAAAACACAGCAUUUCAUAUGACAGGGGAAAAUAGGAAAAGGGAACGUUACGUAUUAUAAAAAGGCUUGUAAAAGUUGAUUUGUUUAUUCCAUCAAACUUUUACAUAUCAAAACUUCUUAAGUAUUGAUUGUUUCACUAUUUUAUGUGAAAAUUUACUAUUGUUGAUAUAUAUAAGAAAUGUAAUAUACUUUGACAGACGGUAAGAUUGAAAAAAAUGUUACAUACAUUUAAAAAUUCUCCAAUUCACUAAAUUUAUAUGCUCACAUGAUAUUAAAGUUUGACGUCAAAUAAAAGCUGAUGCAUCACUC